This 69-nucleotide transfer RNA is filed under the name Thoropa miliaris (rock river frog). RNAcentral's name for it is "tRNA-Ala". Lineage: Eukaryota; Metazoa; Chordata; Amphibia; Anura; Cycloramphidae. The record is from RNAcentral.
AAACUUGCGAAAUUUUAAUUCACAUCUUCUGAAUGCAACUCAGAUACUUUUAUUAAGAUAAAGCUUCCU